GCGGGAGGGAAAUGGUGUUGGUAUGGUCUGAGAGGUUUUACAAUCAUUUGGUACACAUCGGAAAAUACAAGUUUGAAACUUACAGUCCCGUUUUUGCAGCAAACGGGAAUAUGCCUCGUUGAGUAAUCGGCCCGAAAACCAGUGAUCAAUACCAAAGCCUUGUUGCCUGUGGAGCGGGUGAUGUCUGACUUCCUUGUACAGCUGCAGUUUGUAUGGUGAAGGUGCUCCCACAACGUGGUUGGGCCUGCGACAAUGAGA
Molecule: non-coding RNA, 258 nt
Organism: Chiloscyllium plagiosum (whitespotted bambooshark)
Lineage: Eukaryota; Metazoa; Chordata; Chondrichthyes; Orectolobiformes; Hemiscylliidae
Source: RefSeq, a predicted model, not a curated record